This 465-nucleotide ribosomal RNA is filed under the name Vreelandella stevensii. Its description in RNAcentral is "partial 16S ribosomal RNA". It matches the Rfam family "Bacterial small subunit ribosomal RNA", at positions 338 to 795 of the family's 1533-position model. The record is from RNAcentral. Lineage: Bacteria; Pseudomonadati; Pseudomonadota; Gammaproteobacteria; Oceanospirillales; Halomonadaceae.
CCUACGGGUGGCUGCAGUGGGGAAUAUUGGACAAUGGGGGGAACCCUGAUCCAGCCAUGCCGCGUGUGUGAAGAAGGCCCUCGGGUUGUAAAGCACUUUCAGUGAGGAAGAACGCCUGGUGGUUAAUACCCAUCAGGAAAGACAUCACUCACAGAAGAAGCACCGGCUAACUCCGUGCCAGCAGCCGCGGUAAUACGGAGGGUGCGAGCGUUAAUCGGAAUUACUGGGCGUAAAGCGCGCGUAGGUGGCUUGAUAAGCCGGUUGUGAAAGCCCCGGGCUCAACCUGGGAACGGCAUCCGGAACUGUCAAGCUAGAGUGCAGGAGAGGAAGGUAGAAUUCCCGGUGUAGCGGUGAAAGGCGUAGAGAUCGGGAGGAAUACCAGUGGCGAAGGCGGCCUUCUGGACUGACACUGACACUGAGGUGCGAAAGCGUGGGUAGCAAACAGGAUUAGAUACCCCUGUAGUC